Molecule: ribosomal RNA, 252 nt
Filed under: uncultured bacterium
Lineage: Bacteria
Description: partial 16S ribosomal RNA
Rfam family: Bacterial small subunit ribosomal RNA
Source: RNAcentral
UACGGAGGAGGCAAGCGUUAUCCGGAAUUAUUGGGCGUAAAGCGUCCGUAGGUGGCUAGUCAAGUCUGCGGUCAAAGACUGGGGCUUAACCCUGGAAAGGCCGUGAAACUGACGAGCUAGAGUGCAGUAGGGGUAGAGGGAAUUCCCGGUGUAGCGGUGAAAUGCGUAGAGCUCGGGAAGAACAUCGGUGGCGAAAGCGCUCUACUGGACUGCAACUGACACUCAGGGACGAAAGCUAGGGGAGCGAAUGGG